GAUGAACGCUGGCGGCGUGCUUAACACAUGCAAGUCGAACGGUGAAGCGCUUUCAUUUUUGGUUGGUGUGGAUGAGUGGCCAACGGGUGAGUAACACGAGAGUAAUCUGCCCCCUUCUUCUGGAUAACCGCAUGAAAGUGUGGCUAAUACGGGAUAUUCCGGGUCUUUCGCAUGAUGGGUCUGGGGGAGAUAUUGUUUCGGAGUGGGAUGGGCUCGCGGCCUAUCAGCUUGUUGGUGGGGUGAUCGCCUACCAAGGCGGUGACGCGUAGCCGGCCUGAGAGGAUGGACGAUCACGGAACCGCUGAGACGUGCUCCAGACUCCGACAGGCGGCAGCUGUGGGGAAUAGUGCACGAGGGGCACAAGGCUCAAGCAGCGACGCCGCGUGGUAGAAGGAUGCCUUCUCGUUCAGAACCUCUUUCGCAACAGAAACAGACCUGCCUCGUUUGUCGGUGGGUUGACGGUAGCUGGAUAAGAAGCGCCGGCUAACUACGUG
This 494-nucleotide ribosomal RNA is filed under the name uncultured bacterium. RNAcentral describes it as "partial 16S ribosomal RNA". It matches the Rfam family "Bacterial small subunit ribosomal RNA", at positions 28 to 507 of the family's 1533-position model. The record is from RNAcentral.